Rhinichthys klamathensis goyatoka is the source of this 412-nucleotide long non-coding RNA. RefSeq lists it as uncharacterized. Lineage: Eukaryota; Metazoa; Chordata; Actinopteri; Cypriniformes; Leuciscidae. The transcript has 4 exons. The record is from RefSeq and is a predicted model, not a curated record.
CGAUUUACAUCGAGAUUCCGAAGACAGGACAGAAAGUGACUGAGUGAAGAGUCUCUCUUCAACUGCGUGCAAUUCACCCCAAGCUCGGAAAGAACAGAUAACAUCUUUGAAGGACAUCAAAAGGAUAGAAGGCCAUUGAUGGGUGACACUAGAGGAAAGGGUGUGUGAGGACCUUCAAACCUGAACUUCAAUCAAUAGCACACACAUUCAUACCGACAAAAUGAAUGAGAGACAGGCUCUCCAUUCAAUUAUGAAGGAUCUGGUGGCCCUGCAGAUGACCAGGCGCCAGCCGGCGUCAAAUUACGACACGGCAAAACCUAAACCUGUCAAUACUGCCAGCUCUUCCAACAGAACGGUAAUACACAUGCAUACAUUAGAAACAGUGACCUUGUGACUCCUAGUCCUAUAUGAC